Molecule: ribosomal RNA, 253 nt
Filed under: uncultured bacterium
Lineage: Bacteria
Description: partial 16S ribosomal RNA
Rfam family: Bacterial small subunit ribosomal RNA
Source: RNAcentral
UACGUGGGCAGCAAGCGUUGUUCGGAGUUACUGGGCGUAAAGGGUGUGUAGGCGGUCUACUAAGUCUGGUGUGAAAUCUCCCGGCUCAACUGGGAGGGUGCGCCGGAAACUGGAAGGCUAGAGUGCGGGAUGGGAGAGUGGAAUUCCUGGUGUAGCGGUGAAAUGCGUAGAUAUCAGGAGGAACACCUGUGGUGUAGACGGCUCUCUGGACCGCAACUGACGCUGAGACACGAAAGCGUGGGUAGCAAACAGG